GCUUGCUACACAAGCAUGAGAGCUGGGAUGCAGAGAAGAUUAGUAUGGCCCCUGCACAAGGAUGACAUGCAAAUUCAUGAAGCAUUCCAUAAUUUU
RNAcentral lists this small nuclear RNA (96 nucleotides) under Jaculus jaculus (lesser Egyptian jerboa). Lineage: Eukaryota; Metazoa; Chordata; Mammalia; Rodentia; Dipodidae. The record is from RNAcentral.